AUGAACCCCGGGCAGGCAACGGAACCCGGAUCCUUUUCAAAAACAUCGGGGCCAGCAUUGCCCCUCAAUUCGGCUUGCGCUUGGCCGGGUUCGUCAACCUGGCCAAGACCGCAACCCAGCCAAGACCGCAAACCGGCCAAGACCGCAACGCGGCCCGGCCUGCUGGCGCACGCCGGCCGAACUCAACAAAGCCAAGACUUCUCCAACAAGCGAGCGCCCUUAUGGUGUCUUCCUCAACCCGGCCACGGGUCAGCUCCCGUCCCAUCCAAGGCGUACGAUGGAACAAGUCCUCGUAGAAGGGAUGAGCAAGGCCACAGUGCCCCACCAACUCCUCUGACUGGCAGGAGCGUGGCAACAGUGCCCCACCAACUCCGCUGA
This 378-nucleotide ribosomal RNA is filed under the name Triticum aestivum (bread wheat). RNAcentral describes it as "partial small subunit ribosomal RNA". Lineage: Eukaryota; Viridiplantae; Streptophyta; Magnoliopsida; Poales; Poaceae. The record is from RNAcentral.